GAUGAACGCUGGCGGCGUGCCUAAUACAUGCAAGUCGAACGCAUUGUGGUUGAAAUGAUAUGAAGAACUUGUUCAGAUUUGAUUUUCAACAUUGCAAUGAGUGGCGAACGGGUGAGUAACACGUGGGAAACCUACCUCUUAGCAGGGGAUAACAUUUGGAAACAAAAUGCUAAUACCGUAUAAUAAUUAAAACCGACAUGGUUUAGUUUAAAAGAUGGUCUUGCUAUCACUAAGAGAUGGUCCCGCGGUGUAUUAGUUAGUUGGUGAGGUAAUGGCUCACCAAGACAAUGAUACAUAGCCGAGUUGAGAGACUGACCGGCCACAAUGGGACUGAGACACGGCCCAUACUCCUACGGGAGGCAGCAGUAGGGGAAUCUUCCACAAAUGGACGAAAAGUCUGAUGGAGCAACGCCGCGUGUGUGAUGAAGGUUUCGGCUCGUAAAACACUGUUGUAAGAGAAGAAUGACAUUGAGAGU
Molecule: ribosomal RNA, 476 nt
Filed under: uncultured bacterium
Lineage: Bacteria
Description: bacterial SSU rRNA
Rfam family: Bacterial small subunit ribosomal RNA
Source: RNAcentral